RNAcentral lists this ribosomal RNA (460 nucleotides) under uncultured bacterium. Its description in RNAcentral is "partial 16S ribosomal RNA". It matches the Rfam family "Bacterial small subunit ribosomal RNA", at positions 338 to 795 of the family's 1533-position model. The record is from RNAcentral.
CCUACGGGAGGCAGCAGUGAGGAAUAUUGGUCAAUGGACGAGAGUCUGAACCAGCCAAGUAGCGUGAAGGAUGACUGCCCUAUGGGUUGUAAACUUCCUUUAUAUGGGAAUAAAACGUUCCACGUGUGGGAUUUUGUAUGUACCAUAUGAAUAAGGAUCGGCUAACUCCGUGCCAGCAGCCGCGGUAAUACGGAGGAUCCGAGCGUUAUCCGGAUUUAUUGGGUUUAAAGGGAGCGUAGGUGGAUUGUUAAGUCAGUUGUGAAAGUUUGCGGCUCAACCGUAAAAUUGCAGUUGAAACUGGCAGUCUUGAGUACAGUAGAGGUGGGCGGAAUUCGUGGUGUAGCGGUGAAAUGCUUAGAUAUCACGAAGAACUCCGAUUGCGAAGGCAGUUCACUGGACUGCAACUGACACUGAGGCUCGAAAGUGUGGGUAUCAAACAGGAUUAGAUACCCCAGUAGUC